GCAAAUUCAGCUAUUGUUGGAAGCCAGCCAAUAUGAAACAAACUAUUAAAAUUACAAAAGGUUGCAGCAUAUGUUGUGUAAAUGGUGAACUCAUACAGCUGUCAACUCUUGUCAUUUUAAUCCGUUUCACAUUUGCUAGCUACCUUUUAGAUCGAAGCCCAAAUAGAAUGAUAAAAGAUAAAAUGAUAGAAGCCCAUCUCCUACUGUAAAUAACCUACACACUGUGUGUGUGUGUAGCCAGCCAGCCAGGUAGAGAAAUGGCAGAAAAAUAAAAGACGGACAUCAGAGUAUUUUUCAGUACACCAAAACGCAAAGUAAGAACCCUAGUAGCCUAAUAUCUCAAAGACUAGUUGAUAAAAUGUUCAUAGGAAAGAAAUGAAAUUCAAAUGGAAAUGUUUCACAAUGAUGUCAUUAGGCAGAGCAGGCAACAGAUGGCACACAGACAGCAGAGUUGGGGACAGACUGGCAGAGACAGGGAGUCUCAGAUCCUCCCAAGCUCUGUCAAGUUGGAUGGGGAGCGUCGCUGCACAGCUAUUUUCCGGUCUCUCCAGAGAUGUUCAAACGGGUUCAAGUCCGGGCCUCUAUGUAGUCCACUCGAGGACAUUCAGAGACUUGUCGCGAAGCCAGUCCUGCGUUGUCUUGACUGUGUGCUUAGGGUCGUUGUCCUGUUGGAAGGUGAACCUUUGCCCUAGUCUGAGGUCCUGAGAGCUUUGGAGCAGGUUUUCAUCAAGGAUCUCUCUGUACUUUGCUUCGUUCAUCUCUCCCUUGAUCCUGACAAGUCUCGCAGUACCUGCCACUGAAAGAUAUCCCUACAGCAUGAUGCUGCAACCACCAUGCUCCACCAUAGGGAUAGUGCCAUGUUUCCUCCAAAUGUGACGCUUGGUAUUCACGCAAAAGAGUUCAAUCUUGGUUUCAUCAGACCAGAGAAUCUUGUUUCUCAUGGUCUGAGAGUCCUUUAGGUGCCUUUUGUCAAACUCCAAGCAGGCUGUCAUGUGCCUUUUACUGAGGAGAGGGUUCCGUCUGGCCACUCUACCAUAAAUGCAUGAUUGGUGGAGUGCUGCAGAAAUGGGUGUCCUUCUGGAAGGUUGUCCCAUCUCCACAGAGGAACUCUAGAGCUCUGUCAGAGUGACCAUCGGGUUCUUGGUCACCUCCCUGACCAAAGCCCUUCUCCCUCGAUGGCCCAGUUUGGCCAGGCAGUCACCUCUAGGACGAGUCUUGGUGGUUUCCAACUUCUUCCAUUUAAGAAUGAUGGAUGCCACUUUCUUGGGGACCUUCAAUGCUGCAGAAAUGUUUUGGUGUCCUUCCCCAGAUCUGUAUAUGAAAUAUGAAGAGUGGUACCCAAUGAUGUGUUGUGUUGGAUUUGCAACAAACAUAAUACUUUGUGUUCAGGAGAAAAGGUAAAUUUCUUUGCCACAUUUUUUGCAGUAUUACUUUAGUGCCUUAUUGCAAACAGGAUGUUUUGGAAUAUUUGUAUUCUGUACAGGCUUCCUUCUUUUCACUCUGUAAUAUAUGUUAGUAUUGUGGAGUAACUACAAUUGUUGUUGAUCCAUCCGCAGUUAUCUCCAGUGUUGGGGAGUAACGGGUUACAUGUAAUCCGUUACAUGUAAGGGAUUACAAAAAACGGUAACUGUAAUUCGUUACAUUACUAGCAGAAAUAUUGUAAACAGAUUACAGAUACUUUUAAAAACUAGAUGAUUACUUUGAGGAUUACUUUUAAAUUCAGAAAGAAUGUUUGCAAAAAAAAAUCUUUGACACUUCUGUUUUCUCAAUGAUAUUCAAAUCUGCAUUGAAAAAAGGCCCAAGUUUAAGUUUGUUCCACCUGAGCGAGUUUGACCACAAGUCAGAGACCCCUAUGAUGACACAACAAAUGUGUUUGAUGGAUCGAGGGGAAAGAGGAAGGAACAGACUUUUGUAGGCUAUAGUCCAAGCUACAGUAUGUCUUCCAAUGGUGCGACUGCUGUCAGACUGCUGUCGGCAUUCAAAGAUUAUCCAAUUUGAAUCAACGUUUGGAGGUAAUGAUGACAGCAGUGGUGUGGUCUACUGCGAUACGGAUAUCACUUAUUAUUGA
Molecule: long non-coding RNA, 2068 nt
Filed under: Salmo salar (Atlantic salmon)
Lineage: Eukaryota; Metazoa; Chordata; Actinopteri; Salmoniformes; Salmonidae
Description: lncRNA (ENSSSAG00000103661.1)
Source: RNAcentral